GCAUGGCUGAAUACUGUGUUCUUUAGUCCCUAAUUUACACAGCCAGACACCAUGCAAUAGUAAAGGCUUCCUUUAAGAUGGUCGAUGUGCUAUAUUUUAUGGUAUAUCAUUAUGAAAAGUGAGUUUAAGU
This is a small nucleolar RNA of Rattus norvegicus (Norway rat), 130 nucleotides long. Ensembl annotates it as small nucleolar RNA SNORA15. Lineage: Eukaryota; Metazoa; Chordata; Mammalia; Rodentia; Muridae. The record is from Ensembl.